UCGAGGGGCAGCGGGGUAGGAAGCUUGCUUUCUGCCGCCGGCGACCGGCGCACGGGUGAGUAACACGUAUGCAACCUGGCCGUGACAGAUGGAUAACCGGGAGAAAUCCCGCCUAAUACAACAUAAUGCCGGGAGGGGACAUCCCCUGCCGGCCAAAGGGGGCGACCCCGGUCACGGAUGGGCAUGCGGCGCAUUAGGUAGUUGGUGGGGCAACGGCCCACCAAGCCGACGAUGCGUAGGGGUUCUGAGAGGAAGGUCCCCCACAUUGGAACUGAGACACGGUCCAAACUCCUACGGGAGGCAGCAGUGAGGAAUAUUGGUCGAUGGCCGGAAGGCUGAACCAGCCAAGUCGCGUGAGGGAAUAAGGCCCUACGGGUCGUAAACCUCUUUUGCCAGGGAGCAAUGCCGUCCACGUGUGGACGGAAGGAGAGUACCUGGAGAAAAAGCAUCGGCUAACUCCGUGCCAGCAGCCGCGGUAAUACGGAGGAUGCGAGCGUUAUCCGGAUUUAUUGGGUUUAAAGGGUGCGCAGGCGGAAUGUCAAGUCAGCGGUAAAAUUUCGGGGCUCAACCCCGUCGUGCCGUUGAAACUGGCGUUCUUGAGUGAGCGAGAAGUAUGCGGAAUGCGUGGUGUAGCGGUGAAAUGCAUAGAUAUCACGCAGAACUCCGAUUGCGAAGGCAGCAUACCGGCGCUCAACUGACGCUCAUGCACGAAAGUGUGGGUAUCGAACAGGAUUAGAUACCCUGGUAGUCCACACAGUAAACGAUGAAUACUAAUUGUUCG
RNAcentral lists this ribosomal RNA (781 nucleotides) under uncultured bacterium. RNAcentral describes it as "bacterial SSU rRNA". It matches the Rfam family "Bacterial small subunit ribosomal RNA", at positions 62 to 826 of the family's 1533-position model. The record is from RNAcentral.